ACCUGGCUGGCUCAGUCGGUAGAGCAUCUGACUUAAUCUCAGGGUGGUGAGUUCAAGCCCCACGUUGGGCA
RNAcentral lists this transfer RNA (71 nucleotides) under Canis lupus familiaris (dog). It matches the Rfam family "tRNA". Rfam says of the family: Transfer RNA (tRNA) molecules are approximately 80 nucleotides in length. Their secondary structure includes four short double-helical elements and three loops (D, anti-codon, and T loops). Further hydrogen bonds mediate the characteristic L-shaped molecular structure. tRNAs have two regions of fundamental functional importance: the anti-codon, which is responsible for specific mRNA codon recognition, and the 3' end, to which the tRNAs corresponding amino acid is attached (by aminoacyl-tRNA synthetases). tRNAs cope with the degeneracy of the genetic code in two manners: having more than one tRNA (with a specific anti-codon) for a particular amino acid; and 'wobble' base-pairing, i.e. permitting non-standard base-pairing at the 3rd anti-codon position. Lineage: Eukaryota; Metazoa; Chordata; Mammalia; Carnivora; Canidae. The record is from Rfam by way of RNAcentral. RNAcentral also lists the same sequence under 1 other name.